GACGAACGCUGGCGGCGUGCUUAACACAUGCAAGUCGAACGGAAAGGCCCUGCUUUUGUGGGGUGCUCGAGUGGCGAACGGGUGAGUAACACGUGAGUAACCUGCCCUUGACUUUGGGAUAACUUCAGGAAACUGGGGCUAAUACCGGAUAGGAGCUCCUGCUGCAUGGUGGGGGUUGGAAAGUUUCGGCGGUUGGGGAUGGACUCGCGGCUUAUCAGCUUGUUGGUGGGGUAGUGGCUUACCAAGGCCUUGACGGGUAGCCGGCCUGAGAGGGUGACCGGCCACAUUGGGCCUGAGAUACGGCCCAGCCUCCUACGGGAGGCAGCAGUGGGGAAUAUUGCACAAUGGGCGGAAGCCUGAUGCAGCAACGCCGCGUGCGGGAUGACGGCCUUCGGGUUGUAAACCGCUUUCGCCUGUGACGAAGCGUGAGUGACGGUAAUGGGUAAAGAAGCACCGGCUAACUACGUG
RNAcentral lists this ribosomal RNA (468 nucleotides) under uncultured bacterium. Its description in RNAcentral is "partial 16S ribosomal RNA". It matches the Rfam family "Bacterial small subunit ribosomal RNA", at positions 28 to 507 of the family's 1533-position model. The record is from RNAcentral.